UGCCGCGUGUGUGAAGAAGGCCUUAGGGUUGUAAAGCACUUUCAAUGGGGAGAAAAGUCUUACGGUUAAUAACUGUGAGAGUUGAUGUUACCUAUAGAAGAAGCACCGGCUAACUCCGUGCCAGCAGCCGCGGUAAU
RNAcentral lists this ribosomal RNA (137 nucleotides) under uncultured bacterium. Its description in RNAcentral is "partial 16S ribosomal RNA". It matches the Rfam family "Bacterial small subunit ribosomal RNA", at positions 395 to 524 of the family's 1533-position model. The record is from RNAcentral.